This 62-nucleotide transfer RNA is filed under the name Tsukamurella strandjordii. Its description in RNAcentral is "tRNA-Ala". It matches the Rfam family "tRNA", at positions 9 to 63 of the family's 71-position model. From Rfam's summary of the family: Transfer RNA (tRNA) molecules are approximately 80 nucleotides in length. Their secondary structure includes four short double-helical elements and three loops (D, anti-codon, and T loops). Further hydrogen bonds mediate the characteristic L-shaped molecular structure. tRNAs have two regions of fundamental functional importance: the anti-codon, which is responsible for specific mRNA codon recognition, and the 3' end, to which the tRNAs corresponding amino acid is attached (by aminoacyl-tRNA synthetases). tRNAs cope with the degeneracy of the genetic code in two manners: having more than one tRNA (with a specific anti-codon) for a particular amino acid; and 'wobble' base-pairing, i.e. permitting non-standard base-pairing at the 3rd anti-codon position. Lineage: Bacteria; Bacillati; Actinomycetota; Actinomycetes; Mycobacteriales; Tsukamurellaceae. The record is from RNAcentral.
AGCUCAGUUGGUAGAGCGCCGCCUUUGCAAGGCGGAUGUCAGGAGUUCGACCGUUAUCUCCA